Molecule: long non-coding RNA, 529 nt
Filed under: Cricetulus griseus (Chinese hamster)
Lineage: Eukaryota; Metazoa; Chordata; Mammalia; Rodentia; Cricetidae
Description: lncRNA (ENSCGRG00015036743.1)
Source: RNAcentral
AGCAAGACUGGAAGAGCUUCUCUGUUUUCGGUUUCACUUUUGGGCUUGCGUACAGACGGCUACCACGUUGGCUGGCUAAGUUGCUCUAGCCUUCAUGGAGUAGCUGAUGGAAGCGGAAGCAGACACCCACAACUAAACACUGACCUGAACUCUGGAAUCCAGUUGCAGAGAGGGAGGAGUGUUGAGCAAAGGGGUCAAGACCAGGCUAUAGAAACCCACAGAAACAGCUGUCCUGAACAAGGGGUUGCUCAUGGAUCCCAGACUGAUAGCUGGGAAACCAGCAAAGGACUGUUCCAGACCCCCUGAAGGAGGAAGCCAGUUUGGAGGUCUGGACAAUCUACAGGGCCUCUGGUAGUGGAUCAGUAUUUACUCCGAGUACACAAAUGAACUUUGGGAGCCCUCUCUUCAUAGAGGGAUACUCUUGCAGCCUAGACACACUGGGGAGGGUCUAGGCCCUGCUCCAAAUGAUAUGACAGACUUUGAAGAUUACCCAAAGAGGGCCUCACCCUCCCUGGGGAGCAGAAAGGGG